AGGUUGAUUCUGGCUCAGGAUGAACGCUGGCGGUGUGCCUAAUACAUGCAAGUCGAUCGGGCGUAGCAAUACGUCAGAGGCGUACGGGUGAGUAACACGUAGGUAACCUACCUUUAAGACUGGGAUACCCAGACGAAAGUUUGGCUAAUACCGGAUAACAACAUUUGAGACAUCUCUUUUGUUUGAAAGGCGCUGCAAGGCGCCACUUUUAGAUGGACCUGCGUCGCAUUAGCUAGUUGGUGAGAUAAAAGCCCACCAAGGCUGGGAUGCGUAGCCGAUCUGAGAGGAUGACCGGCCACAAUGGGACUGAGACACGGCCCAUACUCCUACGGGAGGCAGCAGUAGGGUAGUUUUCGGCAAUGGGGGAAACCCUGACCGAGCAACACCGCGUGAGUGAUGAAGGUCCUUCGGAUCGUAAAGCUCUGUUACGAGGGACGAAUGAUCGCUUUAGGAAAUGAGAGCGGUUUGACGGUACCUCGCCAGAAAGCGACGGCUAACUACGUGCCAGCAGCAGC
RNAcentral lists this ribosomal RNA (515 nucleotides) under uncultured bacterium. Its description in RNAcentral is "bacterial SSU rRNA". It matches the Rfam family "Bacterial small subunit ribosomal RNA", at positions 10 to 518 of the family's 1533-position model. The record is from RNAcentral.